This 468-nucleotide ribosomal RNA is filed under the name uncultured bacterium. RNAcentral's name for it is "partial 16S ribosomal RNA". It matches the Rfam family "Bacterial small subunit ribosomal RNA", at positions 28 to 507 of the family's 1533-position model. The record is from RNAcentral.
GACGAACGCUGGCGGCGUGCUUAAUACAUGCAAGUCGAACGGAAAGGCCCUGCUUUUGUGGGGUGCUCGAGUGGCGAACGGGUGAGUAACACGUGAGUAACCUGCCCUUGACUUUGGGAUAACUUCAGGAAACUGGGGCUAAUACCGGAUAGGAGCUCCUGCUGCAUGGUGGGGGUUGGAAAGUUUCGGCGGUUGGGGAUGGACUCGCGGCUUAUCAGCUUGUUGGUGGGGUAGUGGCUUACCAAGGCUUUGACGGGUAGCCGGCCUGAGAGGGUGACCGGCCACAUUGGGACUGAGAUACGGCCCAGACGCCUACGGGAGGCAGCAGUGGGGAAUAUUGCACAAUGGGCGGAAGCCUGAUGCAGCAACGCCGCGUGCGGGAUGACGGCCUUCGGGUUGUAAACCGCUUUCGCCUGUGACGAAGCGUGAGUGACGGUAAUGGGUAAAGAAGCACCGGCUAACUACGUG